Molecule: ribosomal RNA, 115 nt
Organism: Thalassotalea sp. PP2-459
Lineage: Bacteria; Pseudomonadati; Pseudomonadota; Gammaproteobacteria; Alteromonadales; Colwelliaceae
Source: Rfam
UCUGGUAACCAUAGCAUUGUAGAACCACCUGACUCCAUGCCGAACUCAGUAGUGAAAUGCAAUAGCGCCGAUGGUAGUGUGGGAGUUCCCAUGUGAGAGUAGGACAUUACCAGAU